CUUCAUGUCCCGUUCGUGUGCUCCGGUAUCCCUGAUUGAACCUGUGUGUACCAACCUUCGUCCGUUCUCCGACCAACCUUGCUAAGUGUUCUCUAACCUACCCAUCAAAUUGAAUGACAAGCUGUGGCCGAAGCUUCCAGCCUCUCGGCCCCAACGAAAGGACUCUUGCUGCACUUUUUUGCCUUUAGUCAAAACAUUCACGCAACCUUCGAUGUCUUUACAGACAAGAACCCCCAGGCUAAGACUUUCUCGAUUACAACUUGGAAAUGCCGUGUUGCCGUGGAGCUGAGUUGAGGGAGGGAACCAACCUUGAAGUGGGCAGUGACUGACAACACCGCUCUGGUUCAAUGUGCACAACGUUAUCACAAAGUCGACAUCCUUUUUUUUUUGUUCAAGAAAAUGGGCUAUGUUGGUUUCUGUGUCCAGAUGUAAGCGUAAUCUGACAAAU
This is a long non-coding RNA of Syngnathoides biaculeatus (alligator pipefish), 448 nucleotides long. RefSeq lists it as uncharacterized. The record is from RefSeq and is a predicted model, not a curated record. The transcript is spliced from 5 exons. Lineage: Eukaryota; Metazoa; Chordata; Actinopteri; Syngnathiformes; Syngnathidae.